CCGUGUUAGCCAAGAUGGUCUCGAUCUCCUGACCUCGUGAUCCGCCUGCCUCGGCCUCCGGCCUCCCAAAGUGCUGGGAUUACAGGCGUGAGCCACCGCGCCCGGCCCUCACUGUUGUCUUUUAAGUAGUGAAACAGGAAUGUCUCUCUGAUCAGAAAGCACAAUUAAGAUUCUGCAGAAAAGGAAAUCCAGCUCGGUGCCACCAAUCUGUACUAGGAAUGAAGAUUUGGUUACCUGUCCUGCUGACGUCAGACCCAGCACCAGGUGCAGAAGCAACCAUCAUACAAAAAUCAAGCUUCCUUAAUUA
Molecule: long non-coding RNA, 307 nt
Filed under: Homo sapiens (human)
Lineage: Eukaryota; Metazoa; Chordata; Mammalia; Primates; Hominidae
Description: HSALNT0280784
Source: RNAcentral